UACCAGCUCUUCGAGUGGUGUGGAUGUUUAUUGGGCCUAAAGCAUCCGUAGCUGGCUGGGCAAGUCCCCUGUUAAAUCCACCGAUUUAAUCGUUGGAGUGCGGGGGAUACUGUUCGGCUAGGGGACGGGAGAGGCAGACGGUAUUUUCGGGGUAGGGGUGAAAUCCUAUAAUCCCGGGAAGACCACCAGUGGCGAAGGCUGUCUGCUAGAACGCGCCCGACGGUGAGGGAUGAAAGCUGGGGGGAGCGAACCGGAUUAGAUACCCGGGUAGUCCCAGCUGUAAACGAUGCAGGCUAGGUGUUUGGGCGGCCACGUGCCGCUCUAGUGCCGCAGGGAAGCCGUUAAGCCUGCCGCCUGGGGAGUACGGCCGCAAGGCUGAAACUUAAGGAAUUGGCGGGGGAGCACCACAAGGGGUGAAGCUUGCGGUUU
RNAcentral lists this ribosomal RNA (429 nucleotides) under uncultured archaeon. RNAcentral describes it as "bacterial SSU rRNA". It matches the Rfam family "Archaeal small subunit ribosomal RNA", at positions 474 to 903 of the family's 1478-position model. The record is from RNAcentral.